GAUGAACGCUGGCGGCGUGCUUAACACAUGCAAGUCGAACGGAAAGGCUCCUGCUUGCAGGGGUACUCGAGUGGCGAACGGGUGAGUAACACGUGGGUGAUCUGCCCUUCACUUCGGGAUAAGCCUGGGAAACUGGGUCUAAUACCGGAUAGGACGAUGGUUUGGAUGCCAUUGUGGAAAGUUUUUUCGGUGUGGGAUGAGCUCGCGGCCUAUCAGCUUGUUGGUGGGGUAAUGGCCUACCAAGGCGUCGACGGGUAGCCGGCCUGAGAGGGUGUACGGCCACAUUGGGACUGAGAUACGGCCCAGACUCCUACGGGAGGCAGCAGUGGGGAAUAUUGCACAAUGGGCGGAAGCCUGAUGCAGCGACGCCGCGUGGGGGAUGACGGCCUUCGGGUUGUAAACCCCUUUCGCUAGGGACGAAGCGCAAGUGACGGUACCUGGAGAAGAAGCACCGGCUAACUACGUG
This 466-nucleotide ribosomal RNA is filed under the name uncultured bacterium. Its description in RNAcentral is "partial 16S ribosomal RNA". It matches the Rfam family "Bacterial small subunit ribosomal RNA", at positions 28 to 507 of the family's 1533-position model. The record is from RNAcentral.